AAAUAGCACGUGAAAUUGUUGAAAGGGAAGGUUUAUGACCAGACUUUUCUAGGGGGAUCAUCCGGUGUUCUCACCGGUGCACUUCCCCUAGUUGAGGCCAGCAUCGGUUUCUGUCGAGGGAUAAAAGCUUUAGGAAUGUGGCUCUCUCCGGGGAGUGUUAUAGCCUGUUGCAUAAUACCUUGACGGGGACCGAGGUUCGCGCAUUGCAAGGAUGCUGGCGUAAUGGUUAUUAAUCACCCGUCUUGAAACACGGACCAAGGAGUCGAACAUUUGUGCGAGUGUUUGGGUGUUAAACCCUCACGCGUAAUGAAAGUGAACGGAGGUGAGAGCCUUUAGGGGUGCAUCAUCGACCGAUCCUGAUGUCUUCGGAUGGAUUUGAGUAAGAGCAUAACUGUUCGGACCCGAAAGAUGGUGAACUAUGCGUGGAUAGGGUGAAGCCAGAGGAAACUCUGGUGGAGGCUCGCAGCGGUUCUGACGUGCAAAUCGAUCGUCAAAUCUGCGCAUGGGGGCGAAAGACUAAUCGAACCAUUGACCAGCGGUCAAAACAAUCACUAGGUGGUUAAGAGGGGGUCCGCGAGGACCAUUUGAAAAACCUAGGCUGAAGCCCGGUUACCCUGUAG
Molecule: ribosomal RNA, 620 nt
Filed under: Arthrinium sp.
Lineage: Eukaryota; Fungi; Ascomycota; Sordariomycetes; Amphisphaeriales; Apiosporaceae
Description: partial large subunit ribosomal RNA
Rfam family: Eukaryotic large subunit ribosomal RNA
Source: RNAcentral